RNAcentral lists this long non-coding RNA (293 nucleotides) under Mytilus galloprovincialis (Mediterranean mussel). The record is from RNAcentral. Lineage: Eukaryota; Metazoa; Mollusca; Bivalvia; Mytilida; Mytilidae.
UUUUUUAAUUUUCAAAGAUCAGCUGUUUUGCAUGUAAGCCUAUGGAGCAGUCAAUUACAAGACUGCAACCUGCAUAGGGUAAUUUUUUCAUAUGUUCACUGCAAGAAAGUAGCUCAUGUGGACUUUUGUGUGCCCAGAAUGAUAAAACAUCAUGAUUUAAGAACUUUUUAAGAGAAAAAAAUCAUGGGGUAUCAAGUUACACUGAAAAAACUGAAAUUAUGUAAUAAUUAUGCAUUUUUAUACUAGACACCAUUCAAAAGUAUUAAUAGAUAUAAAGCACAACAGUUUGAGGC